GCGGGUGCUGGGGCGGGCGGGGAACCGGCCCACGGUCACACCGGGGGAGCAGCGGCAAAGCGGCACCGGGCAGCCACCCCAGCCCCGGUUCCUGCACAUCACUCCUAGCCAGGCAGAGAUGGGCGCUGGCAGAGGUCCCUCGAGCCCCCACGCUGGGCUGAACGGAGUUCAACACCAUUUCUGCAUCUCUCCAGCUGGGACCGGGAGAGAGGAGCGGAGCGAGGGCCUGGAGAAAUCGAGGCACGGCGAGGGCUGAAGACAGCGGGGCAGCCGGCGGAGGACACCUCCAGGAGGGAGGAUGGAGUGGAACAAUGUCCUGCCUGCCACUGGUGGCUCGCCAUCAGGUAUCCGUGAGGGUUGGAGGGUGCCAUGGGCACGGAGCCCCGUGGAGGGAGGUGGGCUGUGCUGUGAGCCCCACCUCGGGGCACAGAGCACGGGGGACAGAGCCUAGGGGGCCUUCCUGGAGGGUGCCAGCAUGGCUGCGAGCUGCUCCGUGCCCGCUGGCAGCUGGCAAAAAUCACUUACAGCAGCUUUUGCCGGCGACAGGACUUAUCUCACCCUCCCAAGGGACUGUCGGGCUCCAGGGGGUCUGGCCCAGCCCAGCAAGGAUUAUUUUUUUGCCAACCAAUUCCCCGUGGAUGCAGAUCUGCCCUAACCUUGAGCUUGCACCUCAGGGGGGCAUCGCUGUUCACACUUAGGGCAGUUUAAUUAGCAGAGAGCCCUCAGCCCUCUGUGCCUGCUUAAACCCGCUGGAACUGGCCAAAACAUGGCAGGGAGGGCAUGGAAUGACCAGCUGGGCAGAUAAUGCUGUUGAGUCUUGUUUUCCCAGAGUGACCUAAGAGGAGGGUCCAGGUGCCAUGCUUUGGAGCACUGUGCUUUCCAGAAAGACUUCUCUGGGUGCUGUGGCUACAAAGGGCUGCUCAGAGGGGCAGAUGGGGCAAAACCUGCUCCCAGCCCUGAUGCUUUUGGCUUGGGAACUGCAGCACUCACAGCUGAUUCUGGGUGAGAUUCAGGCAAGGCCACUUUCCCGGCCUCUGCCAGGACACAGUCCAGCGUUUGUAAACAGCCCUGAAGUUCCUCAGCAAGGUGUCAUGGGAGGAAAUAGCUGGAUGCCGGGGAGUGCAGCGUCCUGACCUGCCCCUCACCCUUCUUGGUGACUAACCCGCUCCCAAUUUCCGCUCAGGAAGGCACGAGUCACUUUGGGAGGAUGUGGGAGCAGCUGUCACACUGCUCCUGGCAGGUGCCACAGGGCGAUGAGGCUGCUUUGGGCUCUGUCCUCACCACACUACAUCCGUCCAUGGCCCCGUGCCGCAGGAAUCCCCCUUUGCCCCGCCUGCCUGCGCUUGGAAUAGGAGUGGAAUGCCCAUCCAGGCUCUGCUGGCCACGGUCAUGCUGUGGGAAAAGGGGCUGAGAGUGGCUUCAUCAUGAGGUAUCAAGGAUGGCAAAGGGCGCAGGAAGGUUUCGGGAAGGGCUGCCCAUGGCAGGGAUGCCAAGGGCAGGGAAACGAGGAGGCCGCAGCCAGGUUUUUCUAAGUGGGGCGUGGGACCAGCAUAAACUCAGCCUCUGUGAUGGCAGGGGACACCUGGGCAGAGCUUAUUCAUCUUAGUGCUGAUCUGUGGGGACUUCACAACAGCCCAUCCCAAUGCUGUGCCACUCUUGGACACCCGCUCCAUGCCAUGGCCAGCCCUGUGGCCACCAUCAGCCCCAGGCAGGUCCCUGCAGCCACAGGCUGAUCCGACCCUGCCCCACGUGGACACCACUUGUUUGCCUUCGGAUGCGCUGCCUAACGCGGCAGUGGGAUCACCUCCUUCCCCGCUUAGUGCUGAAAACCAGUUUGGGGCUGUGGUAAUUACGGGAGCCCUAACGAGCUCCCUCGACCCCCCGGGUCAGCCCGAGGGGUGCUCGGCAGCCGGUCGGGUUUGUCCUGAUCGGCUCCAUUCCCGCGCCGUGGCUCAGGCCGUGUGCGUGGGCGGGAGCGCCGGGAUGUGCCGUGGGGAUGCAGCAGGAGCUGGAGCCGGCGGGGACAGCUGGUGGAGGAUCCCCCCACCUCCUUCCUCAUCGCCCACGGAGCAGCGUGCCCCAGGCCAGCUGAGAUCACUGGGAGGGCCUGUGGGGUAUCCCAGACCUCACAGACACCAUCUGGGAGAGAAGGCUUGUGUAUUUGAAGCACCGUGCCUCUGGCUUGCUGGAGAAGGUGGUGGAUGCUCUGAGUCUGGGGAAACUGAGGCAGAAGCAGCAGACAAGGUUUGUCUUGAGCUGUGCAAGAAGGCAAGAGUUAAAUAUGACAAUUAACCCUCUCCAGGCUCCUCCUGCUCCGGCCCCCAGCUGCUGGAGGAGCUAGACCCCACAGGGAGCUUAUGCUGGGGGAAGAAAGCACAGAGGCUGGGGACUUUCCAGACCCUGCCUUAACCCUUUGUGCCCCCAACUGAUGGAUCCCGGGAGCUGCAGCACGGGCCUGGAGCGCUCUGUGCCAGGGCAGGCCUGGAUUUCAGGAUCCCACUGCCCUCAUUGCAGCGCCGGAGGAGCUGUGCAGAGGACGUGGCUCUGCUGCAAGAUGAGCUGCAGCGUUUCCCUUCGAGACACGCAGCUCCUCCAGAUCCCUGCCCGCUCUGCCACAUCCGCCGGCAGCCGCCCGGGGACGGGAGGGGGAUGCACUCAUCCCGGAUCCAUCUCUUUUAGCAUCAUUCCCACUGCUGAAGGAAAGUCAUUGGGAUCACCUGAGCUGGGACACAGUUCUGGGCUCUGCCACUGAUUUGCUGCAGAACUUGGGCAAGUGGCUGCACCCUCUCCCUGCCUCCGUGACCCAGGAGCAGCAGGUAUCCCCCACAAUCCAGCUUCACUUGGGGCCCAAGGCUUGAGCCUGGAGGAUUCCCAGCCUCCAAGGGGCUGGGGGUUUUCUGGCAGCUCCUAAAUCUCAGCCAGGCUCUGCAACCCCGCUGGGGGGCUGCUCCCCAGCCCUGACCCUCUGCCAAGCUCUCGACAGCUGCCGGCACAGCCCGGGACCGCAGGGCUCACCGGGAAGCCUGAACAAUGCCGACCAGCUGAGAUCAUUCCUCCCAGCUGAUUAUUUGCUCAAAAAUAUUUCUGAGCUCAGGCCUCCUCAGGGAAAACACUCCCAAACACCCGGCAAAAAGCUGCUGAGUCUGGAGGAACCACCUCUUUCACUCGGCCGAGACACCCCCCCUGCGAUGACAAGCCCUGGCGUCAGAGGGAUUGAGGCCAAAGUCUGCUGUUUGAUCUCCCCCUGGGCUGGGGGAAGCCGAAUUUCAGGCCCUCUCGGGGCUUUCACCACUUCCCUGUAGUGGUUUCCUGCCGUGAUGGGAGUGCAGGAAUUUUUGGGAGGCACGCUCCGGCCACCCCACCCGGGCUCCAGGGAGAAACUUGGUGAAGAAUAAAGAGCAAAAACCUCAUCCGGCUCUGCAGGAAACUGCCUGCAAUGGCUGUCCCACCCCACGGAACUGCCCCCGAGCAGCGCCGAGGCCUGGUUUUCCCCGGGGAGCAAUGCAGGACUUGGCAGAGCUGAGGAACUGCCCUCCCUGGUCGCUGAAAUUCAACCUAUAAAGCGAGUUCCUGGUAAAGGAACCUCCCAGGUUUUCCCUGCUGGGCUGUUAAAGCUCCGUAACCCCCUGCCCACUCUCCCCCUCCAGCACUGCUCAAGCCCCUCUGUGCAGAGAAUAACUGCGUGGUGUCCAGAGAGUGAGACUGAGCCGGGAUAAGCCUUUGGAAAGGAGCUAAACCUGCUCAAAGCCGGCGCUGUUCCCUGACCCGCCCUCCUAAUCCUGCCCAGCUCAUAAUGGAAUAAUAAAGGGCUGCACAGCCUCGCUCUCCGCCGCGCUGUGGGGGAGGUUCCUGCUGCCUCUGUACAUGCCAGGAGCUGGGAUAUUAAUUACUCCCUAAGUAAACAGAAUUGCUCCUUUCUUCUCCUUUGCCUGGCUGUAAAACCGAGCGUGACCUUCAGCCCGCAGAGAAAUCAGAGUCCGUUCCCUUUUCCAGGAGAAAGGCUGGCUGUGGCAGUGAUAACGGCGUGAUCUCUGCCUGCCACCCCUUCCCUGGGCUCCUCAGGGGCCGAUCCCAACCCUGCACCUCCAGCAGCCAUCCUGGUGGGACCCCCAGGCUGCUGGGCCUUCCCCCCCCGAAGGGAUGAAAGCUGCGGAUUCACCGAGGGGGAAUCUCAGGAACACAGGGCGGGAUGAUUUUGGGACACCAAGCCCCUUCCAAGGUGUGUCUUGCUGUGCCGGGGGCUGCCCCGCAGCAGAACAAACAGACUUGUUGCAUCUCGGCCUCAGCAGCUGGGAAAAAGCACAGGGAAGUGACAAUACCAGCGGGAUCCACCCCCAAUGGCCGGCAGGGCUCUGAACACCCCACAGGGCAGCAGGAAUGAGGGCAGGAGGAGGAUGAGCAGGGACCCAGAGGGCAAAGCAGAGGCUGAGGGCACUCAGAGGCCACAGCAUCAUCCCUUGAGCUGAGGCUGCCGAGCGAGGAUCCAGCUGGGAAGGGGUUAAACAGCCCUUCCUGCUCCACACACCUGAUUCCAGGCAGCCAGGAGGGAAGGGCUUUAAAAGAGAAGGGCAGGAGGAGGUUGUGUGGGGGUAUUUGGUCAUGGUCCCUGCAGUGCCUGGGUACUUUCCCACCCUUGUUCCCCCCUGUUUGGGUGUCCCUGCAGGAGAAUGUCCCUGCUCCCCUGGGAGCUGCCGUUUCUCUGGUGGGUGCAGGAGGGAAGCAGCCAACUUCUUCCUCACAAAACCAGUCUGGCUCCCACCCAGAGCUCCUUUCGAAGGACAAAGCCAGCAACCCGUGAGGAGGUUGGUGCUGUGAGUGCUGUGAGCAGCUGCUGAUAACACACAUCUGCGUGUGGGGCCGAGGGGGAGCCUGGCCUGGGGUGCCCACGAGGGGGAUCUGGGCUGGCUGGCAAAUGGAUGCUGUGGAUUCAUCCCAGGAUUAUUCCAGCCCGAGGGCCCGAUCAGAACCCCACGCCUGGCUGUGCUGCCUCCUCGGAGUGAACUCGGGCAGCUGAUGCUGUCAGCUCUCGCCUUGUCUUGCGGGAUGUGGGAGUCGGGCUGGAAUAGCCCCCGCUCUGCCCAGGCAUGAGGGACCCGCAGGGGACACGGCAGGAGGAGACGUGGGGAUGGAAUACACCACAGGGACAGGUGGCAUGUCACCAGUUUGGUGAAGGGAGAUGAAACCUUCCAUCCUGGUGCCAUGUGGAGGGGACACAGGCACUUCUGUCUCGUUUGCACAGAGGAUGCUGGAGAGGGACAACCUUUAACGAAGUGUUCAGCGGAAGGGGAGCGAUGGCAGUGCUGCAGCUCCCAGCUGAGCAUGAAAUGUUUGUGACAGGGAGUCGUUGCCAGAGGCACGCCUGCCAUCACACACCCGGCCCCACGCGCCAGAGCAGCCCAGGGAGCCGCUGAGUCAUGGAAUGUCCAUCCUGCGUGGCCUCAGUGAAGCCCACUGGGCUUCCUGCUCCUUCCCCACUCCCAGCUAUAAGGACACAGGCCAAGGGAUGAUGAUCUUGCACAGCAACUUAGAAAACUUCCAGGGAAAACCUCUCCCUUCUAUGGUGAACCCAGCAAUGGUGGUGAAAUUAAUGCUGUUUGCCUUCCCUGCAAUGUAUAAUUUCUGUGAGAUAUCCUCAUUUCUGCUGCUUUGUUGGGUGAUCUGAGUCAUCCUGACCAUAGGGGGAUGGAUCCUGAUGGUGGUGUCACUUCCUCUCGCUUUCCCAGCUUCUGAGGCUGAUAUAUAUAUAUAUAUAUAUAUA
Myiozetetes cayanensis is the source of this 5758-nucleotide long non-coding RNA. RefSeq lists it as uncharacterized. The record is from RefSeq and is a predicted model, not a curated record. NCBI's taxonomy places the organism in Eukaryota, Metazoa, Chordata, Aves, Passeriformes, Tyrannidae. The transcript is spliced from 3 exons.